Molecule: ribosomal RNA, 452 nt
Filed under: uncultured cyanobacterium
Lineage: Bacteria; Bacillati; Cyanobacteriota
Description: bacterial SSU rRNA
Rfam family: Bacterial small subunit ribosomal RNA
Source: RNAcentral
GAUGAACGCUGGCGGUAUGCUUAACACAUGCAAGUCGAACGGUCACUUCGGUGAUAGUGGCGGACGGGUGAGUAACGCGUGAGAAUCUGUCUUCAGGUCGGGGACAACAGUUAGAAAUGACUGCUAAUACCGGAUGUGCCGAAAGGUGAAAGAUUUAUUGCCUGAAAAAGAGCUCGCGUCAGAUUAGCUAGUAGGUGGUGUAAGAGACUACCUAGGCGACGAUCUGUAGCUGGUCUGAGAGGACGAUCAGCCACACUGGAACUGAGACACGGUCCAGACUCCUACGGGAGGCAGCAGUGGGGAAUUUUCCGCAAUGGGCGAAAGCCUGACGGAGCAAUACCGCGUGAGGGACGAAGGCUUUUGGGUCGUUAAACCUCUUUUAUUAGGGAAGAUUUCAGGACGGUACCUAAUGAAUAAGCAACGGCUAACUCUGUGCCAGCAGCCGCGGUAAU